Molecule: ribosomal RNA, 119 nt
Filed under: Pteropus alecto (black flying fox)
Lineage: Eukaryota; Metazoa; Chordata; Mammalia; Chiroptera; Pteropodidae
Source: RNAcentral
AUUUAUGACCAUGCCACCCUGAACAAGCCCGAUCCCAUCUGAUCUCGGAAGCUAAGCAGGGUUGGGCCUGGUUAGUACUUGAAUGGCAGACCACCUAGGAAGACCAGGUGCUGUAGGUG